RNAcentral lists this transfer RNA (89 nucleotides) under Streptomyces olivaceus. RNAcentral's name for it is "tRNA-Val". Lineage: Bacteria; Bacillati; Actinomycetota; Actinomycetes; Kitasatosporales; Streptomycetaceae. The record is from RNAcentral.
GGCCCGGUAGGGCACGGAGACCCGGGCGCGGACGCCGGCCGGGGAGAGGACCGGGACGUCCAGGCCCAGUUCGCGGCCGGUGCGGGCCU